Molecule: ribosomal RNA, 253 nt
Filed under: uncultured bacterium
Lineage: Bacteria
Description: partial 16S ribosomal RNA
Rfam family: Bacterial small subunit ribosomal RNA
Source: RNAcentral
UACGUAGGGUGCGAGCGUUGUCCGGAAUUAUUGGGCGUAAAGGGAUUGUAGGCGGUUCGUCACGUCGAAAGUGAAAACUCAGGGCUCAACCCUGAGCCUGCUUUCGAUACGGGCGGACUAGAGGUAUGCAGGGGAGAACGGAAUUCCUGGUGGAGCGGUGGAAUGCGCAGAUAUCGGGAAGAACACCCGUGGCGAAGGCGGCUCUCUGGGACGGUACUGACGCUGAGACGCGAAAGCGUGGGGAGCGAACAGG